Molecule: long non-coding RNA, 1836 nt
Organism: Astyanax mexicanus (Mexican tetra)
Lineage: Eukaryota; Metazoa; Chordata; Actinopteri; Characiformes; Acestrorhamphidae
Exons: 2
Source: RefSeq, a predicted model, not a curated record
CGUGGGCCAUUAGCAUGCAUGCUCUGACUUCAGGCAGGCCCCUUCAAUAGAGCUGCAGGAUAAACCAGCUACACUAACUUUGUGGCCUUAAAAAUGUCAUUUAUAUUCUGUCUUACUAGCAGCAUUCCUCCACCUGUGUGUGAGAGAGACAUAGCAGAGAGAUUUAGCAGAGCUGUAAAUAUGGGUCAGUAUCAAUAUAACAUGUAUUUUGUGUCUGUUUAAAUUUCAUACAACACGGUGUAGGUCAACAAUAAAAAUUUCAAGUCUAAAUAAACAUGUUAACAAAUUUUGAACAAAUAUUUUUUAAUAAAAAUAACAAGCUAUUUAAACGUGUCCAGGAAUUCACAGUCCACCAUGUCAUUUUGGGAUAGCUGCCCUUUUAAAAAAGUAACAUUAGAGGUCAGUGACAUCACACCCUUCAGUUUUAUUUCCAAAAGACUGAAGACACUUGCUGCAUGUUGAGAAAUGAAUAGUAUUAAUAUCAACUAAUAUUUCUAAGAUGUCUCAAUAUUUAGUUAAGGUAAAGCUUAUGCUGGCCACCCUGUCAUGGUAAAAGAUCACCAUUAUUUUAGACAAUCACCAAGGUCACCAUGAACAAUGAGGAAAAAUGAUGACAGUUAGCCAUGAUAUGUAAUAAAAAGUGAACCUAAGGUUUAUUUAACCCCUUUACAUGCCUUAGAACGUAUACAGGCUACAAGUGUUGGUGAUACAAAAUAUUUUUCUAUGCAGUAAAAUAGGUUAUUCACAUUCUGAAAAAAAUAAGGCUUUAAAAACUCCUACGGGUUACAUGGAGAAGCUGCCUAUUCACUCUCUACUCCACUUAAAAAUUCCAGAUCAGUAACAGGAAUCAAAAGCAAAUUCUGCAGGUUUGAAAAUGGGCAUAAAAACUAGACAACCGUUACAAAAGCCUUUUACAUUAAAUGGUUAAGCUGGGAAAAUAUUAUUUCUGUGCAGACUUAAGUAAUUUUUAGUUAUUAUUUGGUAUGGGACGCCAAAACGCGCAGUAUUCUGAUAAAGACCCAUAUGGCUGCAGCUAAAUUUAGCUAACUAGUUUUACAUCGAGUGACACGUAAGUCCCUCCAUGACGGAGUCCCCAGGCGACUAGGCUAUAGGCCCACUGUGUGUGAAACUACACAAAGAAUCAAACUUUUUUUCUGUCUCCUUUUCUCACUUUCUUACUGUUUCUGCCUGUCUCUCUCCCUCUCUCUCUUUCUCUCGAGCGCGUCCGUGAUUGCGCGUGCACGCUUGGCAGCUCCACGUCGACAUUCUUCCAGCUGCGGAGUCCGGUACACGGGAGAGAGGGAGAGAGAGAGGGGAGAAAGAGACGAAAUCACCUCACCAACACCGUCCGCGGCCUCAGGAAGGACGUCAAGUGCCAAAUUAACGCAGAAAAGCUUCGCUGGCUCUCACAGUCACGGCUGCCAUAUUUGGACACGGCGUUUUUAUUUUUUAUUUCUUGCUUUUUUGCAUUUUCUCUUUCGCCUCGUGCAGCCUGUAACGUGCUGAGUUGCAGCUGUGAGGUCCUGCAGCGAGAAGAUGAGAAGGCCCAUAAUGAAGGAGGUCUAGCGAGAGUCUUCUGUGGCUUUCCAAGUAAAGUUCUGUGAUACACUCUGACUCUUAAUUGUUUGCAGUCAGUGCAUUACAGAACUUUGUUUUGGGAGUUUAAAGCUCUGGCCUGGAGGGAACAAGCAUUACAUCUGGAGGGAGGGAUAACAACCCCCCAUACACACACACACAUUCACACAGACUCACACAUACACACAAGUCCCCCGACAGAACUUAGCUCCAUUCUCUCUCAGUGAUCACACGCAAAUAAAACAUUCAUGAUCAUUGUAA